AAGUCGUAACAAGGUCUCCGUAGGUGAACCUGCGGAGGGAUCAUUCUCAGAGCGAGCGGGCCCCGCCCCUCACUCCAUCCCGUGCGAAAACACCCAGCUCCCGCCUCGGCCGAGCGGUCGUCCCCCCUCGCGGGGGCACGAUCCCGGCCGCUGGCCCAACCAAAACCACUCUGAACCUUUGCAGUCAGUGAAAACAUACCGAAACGUAAGAAAAACUUUCAACAAUGGAUCUCUUGGCUCCGGCAUCGAUGAAGAACGCAGCGAAAUGCGAUAAGUAAUGUGAAUUGCAGAACCCAGCGAACCAUCGAGUCUUUGAACGCACAUUGCGCCCCCUGGCAUUCCGGGGGGCACGCCUGUCCGAGCGCCGUUUUACCACCUCGAGCCCAGCUCUGCGUUGGACCCCGCCCCGGCUCGACCCGGGGCGCCGUCCGGAAUGCAUAGGCGCCCGAUCGCGGGGACCCCAGCACAGCGGAAACACUCGCUGGGGGACCCGCGGCUCGCGGCCGCCGACGAACCCACCACACGUAACGAUUGGCCUCGGAUCAGGCGGGGAUACCCGCUGAACUUAA
Molecule: ribosomal RNA, 569 nt
Filed under: uncultured fungus
Lineage: Eukaryota; Fungi
Description: eukaryotic LSU rRNA
Rfam family: 5.8S ribosomal RNA (bases 214-367)
Source: RNAcentral